GGGGAAUAUUGCACAAUGGGGGAAACCCUGAUGCAGCCAUGCCGCGUGUGUGAAGAAGGCCUUCGGGUUGUAAAGCACUUUCAGUCAGGAGGAAGGUGGUGUAGCUAAUAUCUGCACCAAUUGACGUUACUGACAGAAGAAGCACCGGCUAACUCCGUGCCAGCAGCCGCGGUAAUACGGAGGGUGCGAGCGUUAAUCGGAAUCACUGGGCGUAAAGAGCACGUAGGCGGCCUUGCAAGUCAGAUGUGAAAUCCAACGGCUUAACCGUUGAACUGCAUUGGAAACUGCAAGGCUAGAGUAUGGGAGAGGUAGGUGGAAUUCUCGGUGUAGGGGUAAAAUCCGUAGAGAUCGAGAGGAAUACUCAUUGCGAAGGCGACCUGCUGGAACAUUACUGACGCUGAGGUGCGAAAGCGUGGGGAGCAAACA
Molecule: ribosomal RNA, 426 nt
Filed under: uncultured Wolinella sp.
Lineage: Bacteria; Pseudomonadati; Campylobacterota; Epsilonproteobacteria; Campylobacterales; Helicobacteraceae
Description: bacterial SSU rRNA
Rfam family: Bacterial small subunit ribosomal RNA
Source: RNAcentral